GACGAACGCUGGCGGCGUGCUUAACACAUGCAAGUCGAACGCUGAAGCUCAGCUUUUGUUGGGUGGAUGAGUGGCGAACGGGUGAGUAACACGUGAGUAACCUGCCUCCUUCUUUGGGAUAACGCCCGGAAACGGGUGCUAAUACUGGAUAUUCACUGGUCUUCGCAUGGGGGUUGGUGGAAAGGGUUUUUCUGGUGGGGGAUGGGCUCGCGGCCUAUCAGCUUGUUGGUGGGGUGAUGGCCUACCAAGGCUUUGACGGGUAGCCGGCCUGAGAGGGUGACCGGUCACAUUGGGACUGAGAUACGGCCCAGACUCCUACGGGAGGCAGCAGUGGGGAAUAUGGCACAAUGGGUGCAAGCCUGAUGCAGCGACGCCGCGUGAGGGAUGGAGGCCUUCGGGUUGUGAACCUCUUUCGCUCAUGGUCAAGCCGCAACAAUGGUUGUGGUGAGGGUAGUGGGUAAAGAAGCGCCGGCUAACUACGUG
This 483-nucleotide ribosomal RNA is filed under the name uncultured bacterium. Its description in RNAcentral is "partial 16S ribosomal RNA". It matches the Rfam family "Bacterial small subunit ribosomal RNA", at positions 28 to 507 of the family's 1533-position model. The record is from RNAcentral.